Molecule: ribosomal RNA, 253 nt
Filed under: uncultured bacterium
Lineage: Bacteria
Description: partial 16S ribosomal RNA
Rfam family: Bacterial small subunit ribosomal RNA
Source: RNAcentral
UACGGAGGGUGCGAGCGUUGUCCGGAAUCACUGGGCGUAAAGGGCGCGUAGGCGGCGCGAGCAGUCGAUCGUGAAAGUCCGGAGCUCAACUCCGGAUCGGCGGUCGAUACUCUCGUGCUUGAGCACUGUAGAGGCAGAUGGAAUUCCGGGUGUAGCGGUGGAAUGCGUAGAGAUCCGGAGGAACGCCGAAAGCGAAGGCAGUCUCCUGGCAAGUUUCUGACGCUCAGGUGCGAAAGCUAGGGGAGCGAACAGG